RNAcentral lists this long non-coding RNA (1608 nucleotides) under Salmo salar (Atlantic salmon). RNAcentral describes it as "lncRNA (ENSSSAG00000094590.1)". Lineage: Eukaryota; Metazoa; Chordata; Actinopteri; Salmoniformes; Salmonidae. The record is from RNAcentral.
AAACUACCCCCCCAACAGGACCCAAGCCCACCCCAUCAGGAGGCCAAACUACCCCCCAUCAGGACCCAAGCCCACCCCAUCAGGAGGCUAGCCCGUCACAGCCCAAGUCCUCAGACAAGGCCCUCCGCGACCUGGUAGGAGAGCAGCGAUUGGUCCAGGGCUCUGAGAGGUCCUGCCCCCAGCUCUUCUCCUCGCUUCCUGACGUGUCGUCGGUCGGCCUCUCCGGGAGACCCGUAACCCCGGGUCACAGCUCUGCCCACGGGUCCACAGAGUCCCUCUCCCUCAGUGAAAAGCACUCGGAAAAACACGGAAUUCCGGACGAGGAGGAGGAUAUUCUUGAUUUAGGAGCGCUGGUCUCUGAACCGGACACACAGUUGCAACCGGAGGAGGACGAGGGGAAAAGGGGGGAGGAAGAGGAAGAGGGAGAGGGAGAGACAAGGAUUCCCCACUGUCUGGUGGGUUCUGUGUUUAGUGCAGAUCGCGACGAUGGUGACGACGAGAGGCCCGUGGCUUUCUCCGAGUCGAUUGGUCAGAGGGUGAGGAAAGAGAGGAAGAGCAGAACUAGGAAGACGGACUCUGAUAGGCUGGAGCCUGCUGACAUAGCGAAGGACGCUAGCCAUUCAGUGAGCGAGGGGGAUGGAGAGAGAGAGGGUGGAGGAGGGACGUUGGUGGGAGAAAUGAAUGAUGGAGGAGAGCAGGUGUGGGAUGGGGGAGAGGGGGUGAGGGGUGGGGGAGAGAGGGUGAGGCCUGAGUUGUUGGAGUUUGUUGGAGACUGGCCUUCAGAGGAGGUACUGGAGCAAAGAAGAAGAGGAGGAGGAAGGAAUGGGAAGCGCCCUGGGAGGGAGGAAGAGGGAGUUGAUGAGGGGGAGGAGGCAGGUCCCAGAGGCAGCCAAUCAGAAGGGCUUCCUGGUAGCGGGCCUCAUGUCACAGAGUUCCAGAAGCUUCUAGAGCUCUUACAGACAGGUGUUGACUCCCACCCUCUGCCCACCUGCCCUUCCCCCAUCCUCUCCCCCUUCUCCCCGAGCUCACACCAUUCAGUUGGAGGAGAAGGAGGAGAGAGGGGUGAGGCAGGGGGGAGGAGAGGGGAGGCUGAUAAAGACCGAGUCCUGAGUCGGGAGGAAUUACCUGACUGUGUGGUGGUUGAAUCCAACACCGUGGAGCAGAGGGAGGGAGAGACCAUCCAGGUCGCCGUAGAGGGGGGGACGACUCGGGGUUUAGUUGAGGAAGACUUGGUGGAGGUAGAGGGAAGCCAUCCUGGUAAGGUAGAUCGAGGCCAUGUUGGUGAGGUCAGUCAGUGUACUGAUGCUAGUGAGACCAGGAUGGAAGGUGAAUUCGGCCAUCUUGGUGGGGGCAGUCAGGAGCGGAAGCAGCAGCAGCAGAGUCGCAGGGCGGGGAAACAGUGCAAACUGGCACUCACCUUCACAAACAACACCCCUCCCUCCCCCAAACCACAGAUAGACCUCGCCCCUGACCUUGACCCUGACCUUGACCCUAAUCUCGACUCUGACCUUGCCCCUAAUCUCGACUCUGACCUCGCCCCUAAUCUCGACUCUGACCUUGCCCCUAAUCUCGACUCUGACCUUAACCUUAACCCCGACCUUAACCCUG